Molecule: long non-coding RNA, 2540 nt
Organism: Xiphophorus couchianus (Monterrey platyfish)
Lineage: Eukaryota; Metazoa; Chordata; Actinopteri; Cyprinodontiformes; Poeciliidae
Exons: 2
Source: RefSeq, a predicted model, not a curated record
CUCAAAUGAUACCAGGAUCAAAUAUUUAGGUCAAACAUUUUGUAAUAUUACAGUAUUUUCUAAUCGUGGACACUACCUGUUAGUGGGACAAAAUACCAUGUUCUAACAUACUGAAUGAGCAACAUAAUAUUAUGUUAUUGCUUUGGGUUUGUCUUCCCCUGCGUUUUAGUGGCCACCACUUAUGAAACUUUCUGGAAACGCCCCUGGCCACAGGCCGCCAGUAUUUGGCACGUCUGCGCAAAUUGCGCAUCUCAUAAUGUGUUUUCUGAAAGGUGAAUUAUUUUUCUAACGCGACCCUUAAAUCAUCAAGCGUUUGGGAUACCGACACAGUCUCUGUCAAUAAGGCGCUCAUCUUCAGUCUUUCUUGACGGAGGAAAACGCUGCAGACACAUGAAAGGACAUGUCCACCCCUCCCCCAACACUAACAGAAGCUGAUGCGCAGAAAGUCUACUGUUAAUAGCUUUGGAGAGAUUUCUGAUUUCACAAUUCGAUGUAGUGUUGAUGUCAUGUGUGAUUACGGUUAACAUCUGGAGAUCAAAAUCGUGUUAAAAUGUCAUUGUCUGCUGUUGUAAUUUACUGGCGCUGCUUAAAUAUUCUUCAUCCUGCAGUGAUCCAGUGAGCCUUGACCCGAGCCUCCUGCUCCCCGUUAUAUUGCCGGUUUUGAACGCAGAGAACGAGACCUGCAGAGGUUUGUCAUUGCAAUGCUGCUGCAGGGAAGAUGCAGGGAUCUGAAGGCUGUUUAUUCCUCUGCCUCCAAACAAAGAGCCCGGGUAGCCUGAGUGUGAUCAAUCUUUCCAGCCAAAAAGGUCUGACAGCUCUCUGCCAGAGAACACAGCUGAACCAUCCAACACUCCUUAGAUCAUAUGGUGCCAGGAAUAGCGCAGCCGCGCUGGCUCUGGGGCUCUGGCUUUAAUUUAGUUUCUUUUAAAGACUAUUAUCAAGAAAUUACCAACUUUAUAUUUGGAAUCCACGUGCGUUUUAGAGAGAUAAAACUUCUUCUUUAUUUGUCGAUUACAAAAAACGGGAAUUAUAUAUUUUUUAAAAAAAUGGAGGUGAUAACUGGACUGUCAUUUUUUUUUUUUUUUUUUUGCAAGGAACGGAGCAGCUUUUGUCAUUAAGGAUCAAUUGUUCGCUGAGACGUUUUCCGGGCGGACCAGCGAGCGCCCCGUUUCCCGUCUGCUCUGGAGACAUCUGGGAGGCAAAGAGGCCAAAAAAAAAAAAAAAACUGCAGCCACGCAUCCACACGGACACAGAGUCUUUUUAAAGCGAUGAUAUUUCUGUCACCAUGCAGGCGCAGAUGUUAUUUUCAUUCUAAGUAAUAAAAAAACAGCAAAUCUGAAAUGGCACAAGCGUGCGUCUGUGUUUUUAAUGUUUGCAAAAAUGAUUAAUUUCAUCAAAAAUAUGCACUCAUCUGUAACAUUUCUAACAUAAACAUGUGUGAUAGAUUGGUGGGUUAAUGUUUAAAUAACUAAUAUAAUACAGUGAGAAGACUGAAGUGUUUAUUAAGUGUUUUUUUGUUUUUUUUGGCAAAACGGUCGGAGGUCUUAACAUAUAUCAUGUUAUCAUGUUCUUCCCGUUGAAAGAAAAUAAAAUUGGUGAAAAAAUACACAUAACCUUAAGGCUCACAUUAUCCUGUACAUACGCUGCCAAGCGUGUGCAAAUGUGUGAAAUCAUAACAGUGUUUAUGGAAGAAAUUUUAUAUUAGAGUUUUUAUGUCUGGAGCUUCGGGGCAAAAAUGGGUUUGUAAAUUUCAUUGUUCUGACUUGGAUAACAAUACUGCCAUUUUGAAACGAAAUUAUGAUUUUUUUUUCAAUAUCAGAUUAGAGGAAGUAAUACCACGAGAUCAAAUAUUUACAUUUGGAGAUUCUGCCUAAGUCCAGGUAGCGGGUUCUACUUCCUAUAAGUGAAAUAACACCGACCUCUCCUGCCUAUAGAAGAGUCAGCUAUCUUUGUAAAUGUUGCGACACUACGUUUUUGGCACAUUUAUGCGUCAGUUGUGCGUGUUUUUAACUUUAACCAAUCAUCUUUGUUAAAACGACACGGCUAGUAGGUUUGAAUUAAAAGUGCAAUGCCAAGUGUUAUUCUAUCUCUCCGUGCCAAAAUCCACACAGAAACACUACAACUCCGACCGAGAAAACAGUGAAUAUGUAUUUUUAGAUAUUUUAAGAUUAUUAGAUUAGCAGCAAUACUAUAAGAACUAUUAGCAGUAGUAUUAUUGAUCAUCUUGUUGUUGUAUAGGAUAUUCAAAAAUAAUCUCAACUCAGUAACUAUAUUAGUCUGGAUGGUAAAACCAGCAACUUUAGGGUUAGAUCUUGUAUUCUUGUAUGUCAAUAAACCUAUGAUAUCACGGGUAUAAACUCACUUUUCUCAUCCCAGACUAACAGACUGCUGACAGUGCGACUGGAAGGGGAUAAAUGUGUUCAACUUUUCCUCCUCCUGGACUCGCCCCCUCCCUUCCAAAAUGGCCUCAUCUGUCACUGCUGGUGUCGUGAGGUGUGAUGAAUAGGGGGAGGUGGUAAAAGGUCGCUGGAAAAAAAAAA